GACAGAGGGUGCGAACGUUGUCCGGAAUCAUUGGGCGUAAAGCGCGUGUAGGCGGCCCGGUAAGUCCGCUGUGAAAGUCCAGGGCUCAACCCUGGGAUGCCGGUGGAUACUGUCGGGCUCGAGUCCGGAAGAGGCGAGUGGAAUUCCUGGUGUAGCGGUGAAAUGCGCAGAUAUCAGGAGGAACACCAAUGGCGAAGGCAGCUCGCUGGGACGUGACUGACGCUGAGACGCGAAAGCGUGGGGAGCAAACAGG
Molecule: ribosomal RNA, 253 nt
Filed under: uncultured bacterium
Lineage: Bacteria
Description: partial 16S ribosomal RNA
Rfam family: Bacterial small subunit ribosomal RNA
Source: RNAcentral